Molecule: ribosomal RNA, 492 nt
Filed under: uncultured bacterium
Lineage: Bacteria
Description: partial 16S ribosomal RNA
Rfam family: Bacterial small subunit ribosomal RNA
Source: RNAcentral
AGUGAACGCUGGCGGUAGGCCUAACACAUGCAAGUCGAACGGCAGCACAGUAAGAGCUUGCUCUUACGGGUGGCGAGUGGCGGACGGGUGGGGAAUACAUCGGAAUCUACUUUUUCGUGGGGGGUAACGUAGGGAAACUUACGCUAAUACCGCAUAGGACCUACGGGUGAAAGCAGGGGAUCUUCGGACCUUGCGCGAUUGAGUUAGCCGAUGUCGGAUUAGCUAGUUGGCGGGGUAAAGGCCCACCAAGGCGACGAUCCGUAGCUGGUCUGAGAGGAUGAUCAGCCACACUGGAACUGAGACACGGUCCAGACUCCUACGGGAGGCAGCAGUGGGGAAUAUUGGACAAUGGGCGCAAGCCUGAUCCAGCCAUACCGCGUGGGUGAAGAAGGCCUUCGGGUUGUAAAGCCCUUUUGUUGGGAAAGAAAAGCAGCAGGUUAAUACCCCGCUGUUCUGACGGUACCCAAAGAAUAAGCACCGGCUAACUUCGUG